AAGGUCUUAAGUUAAUUAAACUAUUAGCCUUCAAAGCUGAAAUUAAACUAAAUUGUUUAGACUUUA
This 66-nucleotide transfer RNA is filed under the name Mirhipipteryx andensis. RNAcentral's name for it is "tRNA-Trp". Lineage: Eukaryota; Metazoa; Arthropoda; Insecta; Orthoptera; Ripipterygidae. The record is from RNAcentral.